AUACGGAGGGGGUUAGCGUUGUUCGGAAUUACUGGGCGUAAAGCGCACGUAGGCGGACUGGAAAGUUGGGGGUGAAAUCCCGGGGCUCAACCCCGGAACUGCCUCCAAAACUUCCAAUCUAGAGAUCGAGAGAGGUAAGUGGAAUUCCUAGUGUAGAGGUGAAAUUCGUAGAUAUUAGGAGGAACACCAGUGGCGAAGGCGGCUUACUGGACCAACACUGACGCUGAGGUGCGAAAGCGUGGGGAGCAAACAGGAUUAGAAACCCUAGUAGUCC
Molecule: ribosomal RNA, 274 nt
Filed under: uncultured bacterium
Lineage: Bacteria
Description: partial 16S ribosomal RNA
Rfam family: Bacterial small subunit ribosomal RNA
Source: RNAcentral